Molecule: unclassified non-coding RNA, 284 nt
Filed under: uncultured fungus
Lineage: Eukaryota; Fungi
Description: partial contains small subunit ribosomal RNA, internal transcribed spacer 1, and 5.8S ribosomal RNA
Rfam family: Eukaryotic small subunit ribosomal RNA (bases 1-73)
Source: RNAcentral
UCAAACUUGGUCAUUUAGAGGAAGUAAAAGUCGUAACAAGGUCUCCGUUGGUGAACCAGCGGAGGGAUCAUUAACGAGUUGCAAAACUCCCAAACCCUUGUGAACCUUACCUAUACCGUUUCUUCGGCGGGCGGCAUCGCCCUAACCCUGCCUCCCUCCGGGAGGCGGACCCGCCGGAGGCAUCUAAACUCUUGAUUUUUGUUGGCCUCUCUGAGUAAACUUUUAAAUAAGUCAAAACUUUCAACAACGGAUCUCUUGGUUCUGGCAUCGAUGAAGAACGCAGC